Molecule: unclassified non-coding RNA, 370 nt
Filed under: Hevea brasiliensis (rubber tree)
Lineage: Eukaryota; Viridiplantae; Streptophyta; Magnoliopsida; Malpighiales; Euphorbiaceae
Source: RNAcentral
AUUUUUUUCUCCUUUUCCUUGGUAGCUGGGAAAUGAUUUUCAUCAACAGUAAAAUCCAAAUAACUUUGACUACAGAGAAAAAAUACUGCAGAAUAAUACUAGGAAUGCCUAAUGCAUGCAGUUUGCUUCUACAAUCAAUACAACUCCCAAUCAUAAUGCACUGUGUCAAAACAAUAUAUGAUGCUAGCCGAUGCACAUUUGGACAACUCUAAAGCACAUAGCCAAUGAUAAUGUUCCAGCAUCUAGCGAAGUGAUGAAAAAUGCUAUCAUUUGCAACAGGUUGCUAAAUAAAAUAAUUGCAGGUCAAAACAAUUUAAGAGGAACAGCGACCACAAUGCACAAUUUAAAAUAACCAAAAAUAAAAUCAAAG